AUUAACCACACCCUGCAGGCUGAGGCGGGCAGGCUGAGGCGGGCAGGCUGGGGGCUGAGGAGACGCUCCUUCCCUGCAUUCCAUGGACAUGGUGCCUUGGGCCAGGCUGCAGAGGCCGCAGGGCCUGGCAUGUGCCCCGUGAAACUGGCCCUGCAGUGAGGCGGGGGCAGUGGGGAUGGAUGAACUCAUUCUUUCCUCGUCUGAGGCUGCUCUGAUCGUAAAACCGUGGACGCUGAGCAAAUGGCCCCAGAUGGGGAAACUGAGACCCAAAAUGAAGGGCGCAGUCGCCGAGUCAGCCAGUGACAGAGCUGGGGCUUCACUCCCGCUUCUCGAUUCUCAGCUCCCAUCCUCGUCCCUCUGCCUUUUAUGGAGCAGCAUGGAAGGAAUCAAAAACAGGCAGAGAACUUCAGGGGCCACUCUGGGCUGCUGUGAGUGAAGACUAGAGUUUGUGGGUGCAGUGCCUCCGGCUGCAGCUCUCCAGGCCCACACAGACCUGCUCCUGACACUCCUGGGGGUGCGCUGCCUGGGGGUCUUCCCUCCCCAGCCCUUCCCCAAGAUGUUCCUUGGCCCCAAGCAAAUUAUCUCCCUGCUCUUCCAUGUAGGGACUAGAGGGUCCUGCACUCCUCAGGCCACCCAGGAACCAGUUCCCCCUUGCCCCACUAGCCUAACAUGUGAAUAGCCAAGAGGGACCACUCAAAGGACAGUUUCCUGAACAAAGAAGACCUGUUCUUAACCAGCUGGAUAAAGAAGGAGCUGAUGGCAACUUUUAUUAAAAAGAAAGAAAAGUUCCGAACCAGGAAACUUGCCAUACACCCAUUCGCCAGAUGACAACAUUGAGAUUACUCACUUCUUGAAAGAGCCCAGCCUCUAGCACUGGACAUUUAUCACAAAGCAUUUCCUUCUUGCGUUGGGCAUUCCUCUCUUGCUAGGAGGAACUGAGACUUCCCGUCCCCAGUCCCAGCCCUGAGGCCAUGCAGCCUAGGGGUGGCUGGAUUGAGCACUGCUUACUGGAUUCAGGCCAGAGACUGCCACAUUUUGUCCUCUGCUGCCUGGGUUAGGGAGACCUCUCCCUGUCAACUCAGGGGCAUGGCAGGAGCGGGGCUGGAACAGUCUCUGCAGUCAGUUCCCUCCUGGACCACCGACGCUGGGAAUGCAAGGGGUGGGUAGUUUGGUCUGUGCUUAUGUGUUGAUAUUGUGAGAUCAUUUGAGAGAAUUAAAUAUAUUUUCCCAGAUGGAAAGAAAAGGAAAAGGAAGGGGAUGUUGAGUGUGGGAGCUGUUCAUUCUUUCCAGCUUCUCUCCUUUCCCGCCAUCCCACCCCACCUGUGGACCUGUGUUUGGCAUUAGGGCACUCCUCUGUGCUUUGCUGGAUUCUGAUAGGGAGCACAGCCUGGUGUGGGGGGUGGGAGGACGGAUGGUCUGCAUCUUCCCUUCCCCUGCUCCAGUCCUUAGGCCAGUGCUUUCUGCACUGGGGGGUCAGGGGACAUUGAAGGUGCCAGUCCAAAUGCCAGUCAACACUGUGGGCAGGCCUGGCCAACACUGUCUGUGGAUGCCAGACUCUGGGAAGAGAAGCACCCACGCUCAGAGAUGGCCCACUCUCACUGGGCUCACAGCCAAACACACCCAGUUUUCUGGCCUCGGGCUGGGUGGGACAAGUGUAUAUCUCACCUGACAAGCCCUGUGAGCCUGACAAAUGGAGGGAAAAAGCCACGACAGCAGCACCUCCCAGUGAUCCGGAAGCUGGAGGAGGAGCAAGAGGACACAGGGUCUCUCCAAAAGGCAGAAGUGCGGGGGAGUGGCCUGGACAUUGUAGAGCUGGGACAGCCAAGUCCCAGGGCAAGGGCACCAGGGGACAUGGAGGAGUCCUUCCCUUGGGCCUCUCCAGAGAGGCUGCCUGGAGUUUUCACAGUUCACAAAUGAGCAGAGGAAAUUGUCCAUGCGAACAGCCCUUAGGGGAUCUCCCAGAGAGGUGUCUCGGGUGCUAGGGGAAGCCCAAACACCCCACUUCAGUUUUCACGUAGGAGGAGGAGAAGGCAAUGACUUGUCUUGAAGCAGCCGCUGCCCAGCAAGCACACGAUUUUUAUUUAAAUUGAAGGUUUAUUUGGAGUGGGCUUGGGGGAGUACUUCUCAUGCACACACUUUUUCUGUCUCCUCAUUUCCCCAGCCCAAUCCUCCCCACAUUCCUCUGCCUUCCCGCCUCCCAUUUUAUUAGGUGUCAGUUGUCUGCUCCAAACCUUCAGUAGCUCCCAUUUGUGAUAAGGUGAAGUCCAAAUCCCAUAGCCUGCAUUCAAGUUCUUCCACGGUUAGGGUGGACAUACACCCCACUUUGUUUUGGAUGAUCUAGUUUAUAUCUGCUGUCUUGGCAUAAUAAUUCAUAGCACCCUGCUUCAUGCAAAAAUGUAUCCCAGUUUGGAGAAUAAAUGAUGUGGUCCACCCGUGUACAGUCCACUCCCAACCUCAUGCUCCAGGCUAAUGGCCAACUGUCUCUCUUGAAUCCUCUGAGUCAGUGGUUUUGAACUCUGGUUGCUCAUUAGAAUCACCUGGGGAGCUUUUAAUAAAUAUCACUACUUAGACUCACCCCCAAAACAGGUCAAAUAAAACAGAAUCUCUAGGGGCAGGACCCAGCCUUUGGUAUUUUUUUAAGCAUCCAGAUGACUCUGAUGUGCAGCCAGGGUGGAGAACAACUGACCUCAGUAAAACAGGUGUCCUGGAACUCUGUCCCUGAGCCCAUCUUACACAUUUCUGUCCCUAGUUUUUGGUAACUUGCUCCCAUUGUCUAUCCGCCAUUUAACUCUUUCUUUUCCUCUGUGUGUGGUCUUUCAUUCAUUCUUUAAGUCCUACCCAAGCUGCUAAGCCUAGCUCCAAUGCUGCCUCCUCCUACAUCUUUCCUGACCUCUUAGCCAGAAAGGGUCUUCCUCUCUACCCACUACUGCCCCCUCCCUCCCCCACUAUUGAAUGUCAUCUAUGAUCCACGCCCUGUUUUGCCUUCUUCACAGUCUAUGAGCUCCAUGGCAUGGGUCAUGUCUGAUUAAUCUCUGGAGACCCCAGGGCCCAGACCCAACUUACAGUAAAGCCUCUCACACCUGAGUGAGUGACUAUCACUGCUGGUCCUGAACUUGGGCAGCGUCAUCCACCCCGACACGGGGCACCAGCACAUGCUGCCUCUACAAGUUAAGUUUCUUUUCCUGUGUGCGGGCUUUCAUUCAUUCAUUCACUCACUCAUUCUGCUUUGUGCCAGGCGCUGUGUUCUCCAUCACCUCUUCUUGAUUUCCUGUACUAUUGGAGAACUGUCCUUUCUCUCUCAUGUCCAUCCCCUGGACAGCCCUGCAGACUGUCUUGCAUAUAAACGGUACUCAGUAUUGAUUGAUAAUCAACUGACGAAUAGAUAAACAAAAGUGGUGUGUCCUUACAAUGAAAUAUUAUUCAGCCAUGAAAAGGAAAUGAAGUACUGAUACAUGCUACAAUAUGAAUAACCCUAAAAACAUUAUUCUAAGUGAAAGAAGCCAGGAACAAAAGACCACAUAAACUGUAUGCUAUCAUUUACAUGCAAAGUACAGAAUAGACAAAUCCAUAGAGACAAAAAGUAGAUUAGUGGUUGCCAAGGGCUAGAAGAAGGGGGAAAUUAAGAUUAACUUUUGUUUUGUUUUGAGACAGAGUCUUGCUCUGUCGCCCAGGCUGGAGUGCAGUGGCCUGAUCUUGGAUCACUGCAACCUCCGCCUCCCAGGUUCAAGCAAUUCUCCUGCCUCAGCCCCCUGAGUAGCUGGGAUUACAGGUGUGUGCCACCAUGCCUGGCUAAUUUUUUUUUUUUUUUUGUAUUUUUAGUAAAGACAGGGUUUCGCCAUGUUGGUCAGGCUGGUCUCAAACUCCUGACCUCAAGUGAUCCGCCCACCUCAGCCUCCCAAAUUGUUGGGAUUAUAGGCGUGAGCCACAGCUCCUGGCCAGGACUAGCUGUUAAUA
RNAcentral lists this long non-coding RNA (3954 nucleotides) under Homo sapiens (human). RNAcentral describes it as "HSALNT0028383". Lineage: Eukaryota; Metazoa; Chordata; Mammalia; Primates; Hominidae. The record is from RNAcentral.